Perognathus longimembris pacificus (Pacific pocket mouse) is the source of this 571-nucleotide long non-coding RNA. RefSeq lists it as uncharacterized. NCBI's taxonomy places the organism in Eukaryota, Metazoa, Chordata, Mammalia, Rodentia, Heteromyidae. The transcript has 2 exons. The record is from RefSeq and is a predicted model, not a curated record.
CCCUUCUCUUCUCUUCCUCAUUAUGAGUUUUCUGCAUUUCCGUUUGUCUGAUUAUUUUCUUGAUGUCAGAUUUAGGUCUUUCCGUUUCCAAGUUGAAAGAAUAGACCAAGUGGAUUAACAUCUAGUUUGAGUAGCUACUUUUACCUGAGAGGCAGGUUAGCUAUAGGAAAAGAAUGUUGAAACCAAUCCUAGGAGAGACCUAGUCAGACCCUAGUUUAGUCACUUUGUGGUUAAGACACUUCUCUAGGAGUAGAAAAUCUUCAGACCAGUUCUAACUAAACAGAGUUGCUUGUGCAUUGGCCUGACCUUUGUGCAACACACUCUUAAGGGUUCCUGUAUAUGGGCUCUGUUUCAUAGGCAUCCUUAUAAACCUGAACCUAUGCCAAUCCCUUCCAAAAAUCUGUCAUGUCCUGAUCUUCCAGUUCCCUAAGACAAUGGAACUUCUCCCAUGCUCCUUGAGUCCUAGAAAACUGGACAUUUUAACCAUGUGUUUGUUCUUGAGCCACCUCUCUCACGCCUGCCAUUUCCUGUAAUGUAUUUUCUCUAUUAAAGUUGCUUUACCGCUUACUUU